UUCACAAAACACACGACUCGUGUUGAAGAAUUCAUCUUUAUCUCUUCUCACAAAGCUCAGGCCUUUUAAAACCCCAUGGCGAGUUCAAGUAAAAUGCGUGUAUCGUUUCCGUGUUGUAAUGCAGUAUGCUGUUUUGUAUUAAAACAAACUUGGAUUAUAUUGUGAUCAGCACAUAAUUACAAAACCAAAUAAUGGAGUUCUGCAAACCUGACAUACAAACAGUUUGUUGGUCACUGUCGGUAUGAGCUUAGUUAUCAUCUUUAUUGCAUCUAAGUGUCUCUUGCGCCACUGUUAAAACAUUUCAAAGCCUUAGUUAGUUCAAUAGACAUUUGCAAUGUUCCAGUAAACAUUAAAGGAAAUUACUAUAUCCCCAUCAGAAAAUGUUACUGAUUUAUUAACCUGCUUACUCUUUUCCACUUAUACGAGUUCCUUAUCUAUAGAGUUUUGUCCUGCAUCGGCUUAUCAGCUCUCUACUCUUCUCCCUCUC
RNAcentral lists this long non-coding RNA (487 nucleotides) under Brassica napus (rape). Its description in RNAcentral is "long non-coding RNA (BNAP_LNC012286)". Lineage: Eukaryota; Viridiplantae; Streptophyta; Magnoliopsida; Brassicales; Brassicaceae. The record is from RNAcentral.